This is a long non-coding RNA of Athalia rosae (coleseed sawfly), 552 nucleotides long. RefSeq lists it as uncharacterized. The record is from RefSeq and is a predicted model, not a curated record. The transcript is spliced from 3 exons. NCBI's taxonomy places the organism in Eukaryota, Metazoa, Arthropoda, Insecta, Hymenoptera, Athaliidae.
GAAUUCUUGCAUAAUUACUACCGCCAUAUCGGUAUUGUUGUUGUGAUGACAACAAAAAGUCUGGAUAGUUGGAUCUGCCAUAUUUUGAGAGCGUGUUCAGAGCCACAGCCAAUCACUCUUUUCCCUCCUGCAGAUCAGCAGGUGGCAGAGCUACACAAAAAAGUUGUCGACGUAAGGGGCCACUCUCGCAGCCUCACUUGACACCCGUCACUGAGAUUCGACGGUCUCGUCUCAAUGAAUUCCCGAGUUUCUUGUGAAACAACGAGGGCAAAUUCGAUGGGCAAACCUCUGGGAAAACAAGGUUCAUGCAGUGUUCGGACUGGUAGCAAGGGGUCUUCAACUGAUCGUGGGCAGUCGCACGUGAUGGGAAACAUCUGUUUUUGUUCGUCUGAUCAUGUACGGCGCGAUAGAAUCAUUCAACAAUUUAGCCACAUUCAACGCAGUAGCUUCCUGAAGGGCCGAGGCAUUUGUGUAACCACCCCUGGUAAUGGGAGCUGCAAAAUGUUCCAUAAAAGCAGGCAGAGUACCCAGUUUACCCGGCAAUAUGAAAUC